This 346-nucleotide unclassified non-coding RNA is filed under the name Hevea brasiliensis (rubber tree). Lineage: Eukaryota; Viridiplantae; Streptophyta; Magnoliopsida; Malpighiales; Euphorbiaceae. The record is from RNAcentral.
UUUCCAUUUUCCUUGUGAUACAACACAGCUUUUUUUUUGGUUCAGGAAGGAUUGCGUCUGCCACCAGUAACAAAUGCUGUGUUGUAUCACAAGGAAAAUGGAAAGCAGAUCCUAUUUAGCAAUGACCUUGAUCUCAUACGGAUUCCAUGACGUGGGGCCUCCAAAUAUUGGGGAUGAUUGUUGGCCAAGUGACGAGAUCGACGAUGGCUACUGUGAAAAAUUAGACCGAUGAAAACGAAAAAAAAUUAGGGUUUGUCUGCAACGGAUAAGAGAAAUUAGCGAUGGAGGAGCAAGACCGGCGUCAAUUACUGCAGCUAUUCAAGAGCAAGUCAGGAAUAAAAUUGCG